AAUAUAAAAAAUAAAUGGAAAUUUUAGAACUAAAAAAUAAAAUAUCUGAAAUUAACAAUGACAUUAUUGGAUAGGCUUACUAGCAGAACAGAGAUGACAAAGAAAUUUGUCAACUUUAAGAUGAGUAAUACAAUAUAUCAAAUCUGAAGAAGGGAGAGGGGAAAGACUUAAGCAAAAAAUGGAAACUCACAUACCCAUGGAAUAAUUUUAAAAGAGUAAAAUCAGUAGUAACAGACAAUUGAAGCUACAGAAGCAGAGUGGAGAGAGAUUACAAGAAGAGGACAAAAAGGAAGAAGAAAAAAUAAUAGUAAUGGCCAGAACCUUCUCAAAUUAGGAAAACAUACAUAUUUAAGAAGUGCAGACAACCUCAAAGAGGAUAAGUAUGAAGCACACCAUGCCUAGGCACAUCAUUGUCAAUCUGAGAAAAUCUUAAAAGCAGAGAAAAAUGACAUAUUAUAUACUGGUAAGAACCAUUUGAAUGAUUGUGGCCUUAACAGAGAUAAUGGAGGCGUGGAGCAACAUCUUUAAAGUACUGAAAGAAAAAGAACUGUCAAUUCAAUUCUAUACCUAAUGAAAAUAUCUUUUGAAAAUGAAGAUAAAAUAAAAUUGGCUUCUUAGGCAGUAGUUAUAUGUUUAGCAUACUGUUUAGAAUAGGGACUCUGAAAACAGAAUCUAGAUUUGAAUUUCAGCUUGGAUACCUUUUAUGAUCAUAUUACAUAAAUUCUUUAGCCUCAAUUUCCUUAUAUAUUUUAUUAAUACUUUGUCAUGGCUUCUUCUCCGGGAAAACACCAAAUGGCGGAUGACGCCGGUGCAGUGGGAGGGCCCGGAGGCCCCGGGGGCCCUGGAAUGGGAGGCCGCGGCGGCUUCCCUGGAGGCUUCGGCAGCGGCAUUCGCGGCCGUGGUCGUGGCCGAGGUCGAGGUUGCGGAGGUCGCGGAGCUCGCAGAGGCAAGGCCAAGGACAAGGAGUGGAUGCCCGUGACCAAGCUGGGCCGCCUGGUUAAGGACAUGAAGAUCAAAUUCCUAGAGGAGAUCUAUCUGUUCUCCUUGCCUAUCAAGGAGUCUGAGAUCACUGAUUUUUUUCCUGGGAGCAUCUCUCAAAGAUGAGGUUUUGAAGAUUAUGCCAGUGCAAAAGCAGACCGGCGCUGGCCAGCGGACCAGGUUCAAGGCGUUUGCUGCCAUCGGGGACUACAAUGGCCACGUUGGUCUAGGUGUUAAGUGCUCCAAGGAGGUAGCCACUGCCAUCAGAGGGGCCAUCAUCCUGGCCAAGCUCUCCAUAGUCCCCGUGCGGAGAGGCUACUGGGGGAACAAGAUCGACAAGCCCCACACUGUUCCUUGCAAGGUGAUAGGCCGCUGCGGCUCUGUGCUGGUGCGUCUCAUCCCUGCCCCUAGAGGAACUGGCAAGGUCUCGGCCCCUGUGCCCAAGAAGCUGCUGAUGAUGGCUGGUAUCGAUGACUGCUACACUUCAGCCAGGGGUUGCACUGCCACCCUGGGCAACUUCGCAAAGGCCACCUUCGAUGCCAUCUCCAAGACCUAUAGCUAUCUGACUCCUGACCUUUGGAAAGAGACAGUAUUCACCAAGUCUCCCUACCAGGAAUUCACCAACCAUCUUGUCAAUACCCACACCAGAGUCUCUGUGCAGAGGACCCAGGCUCCAGCUGUGGCUACCACAUAGCAUUUUUAUAUGAGAAAAAUAAAGUGAAAUUAAGUCUGUUAAAAAAAAAA
Microcebus murinus (gray mouse lemur) is the source of this 1722-nucleotide non-coding RNA. The record is from RefSeq and is a predicted model, not a curated record. NCBI's taxonomy places the organism in Eukaryota, Metazoa, Chordata, Mammalia, Primates, Cheirogaleidae.